UGGGGAAUUUUGGACAAUGGGGGCAACCCUGAUCCAGCCAUGCCGCGUGUGUGAAGAAGGCCUUCGGGUUGUAAAGCACUUUCGGACGGAACGAAAUCGCGUCGGUGAAUAUCCGGCGUGGAUGACGGUACCGUAAGAAGAAGCACCGGCUAACUACGUGCCAGCAGCCGCGGUAAUACGUAGGGUGCGAGCGUUAAUCGGAAUUACUGGGCGUAAAGCGUGCGCAGGCGGUUUCGCAAGUCAGACGUGAAAGCCCCGGGCUUAACCUGGGAAUGGCGUUUGAAACUACGAGACUUGAGUAUGGCAGAGGGAGGUGGAAUUCCACGUGUAGCAGUGAAAUGCGUAGAUAUGUGGAGGAACACCGAUGGCGAAGGCAGCCUCCUGGGCCAAUACUGACGCUCAUGCACGAAAGCGUGGGGAGCAAACAGG
RNAcentral lists this ribosomal RNA (429 nucleotides) under uncultured bacterium. RNAcentral's name for it is "bacterial SSU rRNA". It matches the Rfam family "Bacterial small subunit ribosomal RNA", at positions 355 to 776 of the family's 1533-position model. The record is from RNAcentral.